AGAGUUUGAUCCUGGCUCAGAGCGAACGCUGGCGGCAGGCUUAACACAUGCAAGUCGAGCGGGCGUAGCAAUACGUCAGCGGCAGACGGGUGAGUAACGCGUGGGAACGUACCUUUUGGUUCGGAACAACACAGGGAAACUUGUGCUAAUACCGGAUAAGCCCUUACGGGGAAAGAUUUAUCGCCGAAAGAUCGGCCCGCGUCUGAUUAGCUAGUUGGUGAGGUAACGGCUCACCAAGGCGACGAUCAGUAGCUGGUCUGAGAGGAUGAUCAGCCACAUUGGGACUGAGACACGGCCCAAACUCCUACGGGAGGCAGCAGUGGGGAAUAUUGGACAAUGGGCGCAAGCCUGAUCCAGCCAUGCCGCGUGAGUGAUGAAGGCCCUAGGGUUGUAAA
This 395-nucleotide ribosomal RNA is filed under the name uncultured bacterium. RNAcentral's name for it is "bacterial SSU rRNA". It matches the Rfam family "Bacterial small subunit ribosomal RNA", at positions 8 to 429 of the family's 1533-position model. The record is from RNAcentral.